Vitis vinifera (wine grape) is the source of this 516-nucleotide long non-coding RNA. RefSeq lists it as uncharacterized. NCBI's taxonomy places the organism in Eukaryota, Viridiplantae, Streptophyta, Magnoliopsida, Vitales, Vitaceae. The record is from RefSeq and is a predicted model, not a curated record. The transcript has 2 exons.
UGAAGGUCAAGAAGCUUGAAAGGGAGAAAAGACUAGAUGUUAUUGUAGAUCGCAACCUAAAUCGGAACUAUGACAUCCAAGAAGUGGAGAUGAUGAUCCAAGUUGCAUUGCUCUGUACACAACCAUCACCAGGCGAUCGUCCAGCAAUGUCAGAGGUGGUUCGGAUGCUUGAAGGAGAGGGGCUGGCUGAGAGAUGGGAAGAAUGGCAGCAUGUGGAAGUUAGUCGUCGACAGGAGGCUGAGCGGCUGCAAAGAAGAUUUGACUGUAGGGAAGAUUCACUCUAUCACCAUGAUGCUAUUGAAUUGUCUGGUGGAAGAUGAGGAAAAAGAACCAUGCCUUGAAUAUUUUUGGAUGGAUUUCUGGUUCCAGCUUUUCUCCUUCGCUAAAUUUUAUUUGGAAUUCUCAUGUGUGUACGUGAUUCUGUGUGUUUGAGCAAUACUCAAACAAUCCAAGGCCUUGUAUUUUGUAUUAUGAAGCUUUUUCUCUAUGUUAAUAUUGAAUAGUGCCUUUUGAAUC